RNAcentral lists this ribosomal RNA (91 nucleotides) under Xenorhabdus kozodoii. The record is from RNAcentral. Lineage: Bacteria; Pseudomonadati; Pseudomonadota; Gammaproteobacteria; Enterobacterales; Morganellaceae.
GACCACCUGAAUCCAUGCCGAACUCAGCAGUGAAACGCCGUCGCGCCGAUGGUAGUGUGGGGCCUCCCCAUGCGAGAGUAGGGCACUGCCA